Molecule: ribosomal RNA, 546 nt
Filed under: uncultured bacterium
Lineage: Bacteria
Description: bacterial SSU rRNA
Rfam family: Bacterial small subunit ribosomal RNA
Source: RNAcentral
AAUAGAUACCCCCGGUAGCCCACGCCGUAAACGAUGAGUGCUAAGUGUUGGGGGGGUUUCCGCCCCUCAGUGCUGCAGCUAACGCAUUAAGCACUCCGCCUGGGGAGUACGGUCGCAAGACUGAAACUCAAAGGAAUUGACGGGGGCCCGCACAAGCGGUGGAGCAUGUGGUUUAAUUCGAAGCAACGCGAAGAACCUUACCAGGUCUUGACAUCCCGGUGACCACUAUGGAGACAUAGUUUCCCCUUCGGGGGCAACGGUGACAGGUGGUGCAUGGUUGUCGUCAGCUCGUGUCGUGAGAUGUUGGGUUAAGUCCCGCAACGAGCGCAACCCUUAUUCUCAGUUGCCAUCAUUCAGUUGGGCACUCUAAGGAGACUGCCGGUGAUAAACCGGAGGAAGGUGGGGAUGACGUCAAAUCAUCAUGCCCCUUAUGACCUGGGCUACACACGUGCUACAAUGGACGGUACAAACGGUUGCCAACCCGCGAGGGGGAGCUAAUCCGAUAAAACCGUUCUCAGUUCGGAUUGUAGGCUGCAACUCGCCUAC